RNAcentral lists this long non-coding RNA (1139 nucleotides) under Nicotiana tabacum (common tobacco). RNAcentral's name for it is "long non-coding RNA (NTAB_LNC013303)". The record is from RNAcentral. Lineage: Eukaryota; Viridiplantae; Streptophyta; Magnoliopsida; Solanales; Solanaceae.
AACAAAGUUGGCUACCAAACCAAAGAAAUUCAACAAGGUUGGCUACCAAACCAAACUAAUUCAACAAGGUUGGCUACCAACCAAACCAAGUCAACAAGGUUGGCUACCAAACCAAAGAAAACUCUUAUUAGGCACAUGCCCAAUACUUCUUCAAUGAGAUGGACAUCAUCAAUCUCCCCCUCCAGUCUCAUUCAUCCAGAGGAGGUAGCACUGUCUUCUAGUUUGAGUGCAUGCCGACAAGUUCUUUGCAUAGCUCGAACUUGUUCCUUGGUACCACCUUGGUCAGCAUAUCUGCGGGAUUCUCAUUUGUAGAAAUCUUCAAGACUUUUAGAGAUUCAUCAUCUACCAUUUCUCGAAUCCGAUGAUAUCUCACAUUAAUGUGUUUGGUCCUUGCAUGGUACAUAGAGUUCUUGCUAAGGUCUAUUGCACUUUGACUGUCACAAUAGACGACAUACUCCUUCUGAUGCAAUCCAAGCUCUUGAAGGAAUCGCUUGAGCCAUAUCAUCUCCUUGCCAGUUUCUAUAGCGGCAAUGUACUCUGCUUCAGUUGUUGAAAGUGCAACGCACUUAUGCAACUUAGACUGCCAUGAUAUAGCUCCCCCUGAAAAUGUAAACAAAUAUCCAGUAGUGGAUUUUCUGUUGUCAAUGUCACCCGCCAUAUCAGCAUCUGUAUAGCCCUUCAAGAUUGGAUCAGAUCCUCCAAAGCACAAACAAUCUCCCGUGGUACCUCUCAGGUACCUGAGUAUCCACUUGACUGCUUCCCAAUGUUCCUUUCCAGGAUUUUCAAGAAACCUGCUGACAACACCAACUGCGUGAGCAAUAUCAGGUCUAGUACAUACCAUUGCAUAUAUCAAGCUUCCGACUGCUGAAGAAUAAGGAACUUUAGCCAUGUUCCCUUUCUCCUCCACUUUUGUAGGACAAAUCUUCUUACUCAACUUUAGAUGACCAGCAAGAGGUGUGCUGACUGGCUUAGCAUUCUUCAUGUUGAAGCGUUCUAGUACACGUUCAAUGUACUUCUCCUGAGAUAGCCACAACUUUCUACUUGUUCUCUCUCGAACUAUCUUCAUCCCUAGAAUUUGUUGUGCUGGUCCCAAGUCCUUCAUAUCAAAUGACUUGGACAGAUCUCCUUGCAACUUUGCU